AUUUAUUUUAUUAAUAUUAUUUGUUUUGUUUAGUAUUUAAGAUAAUAUAAUUGUAUUUGGAUUGUUAUAUGAUUUCACCCGUGGUAUACCAUAUCGUAUUACUAUCGACCCAAACCCGUCCUACCAUCUAAUCCCGUUCAGUGAAACUAAACAUAUAUAAUGGAUUUCACCCGUGGUAUACCGUCUCGUAUUACUGUCGACCCAAACCCGUCCUACCAUCUAACUCCGUUCAGUGAAAUUAAACAUUUUGUUUUUGUUAUUUUUGUUUUAAUAAGACUUU
RNAcentral lists this small RNA (280 nucleotides) under Arabidopsis thaliana (thale cress). Its description in RNAcentral is "ATSL024260". The record is from RNAcentral. Lineage: Eukaryota; Viridiplantae; Streptophyta; Magnoliopsida; Brassicales; Brassicaceae.